RNAcentral lists this ribosomal RNA (477 nucleotides) under uncultured bacterium. RNAcentral describes it as "partial 16S ribosomal RNA". It matches the Rfam family "Bacterial small subunit ribosomal RNA", at positions 28 to 507 of the family's 1533-position model. The record is from RNAcentral.
GAUUAACGCUGGCGGCGUGCAUAACACAUGCAAGUCGAACGAUGAAACUUUAAUGAACCCUUCGGGGAGAAUUAAAGCGGAUUAGUGGCGAACGGGUGAGUAACGCGUGAGUAACCUGCCUUACACAAGGGGAUAGCCUUUGGAAACGAAGAAUAAUACCCUAUAAAACCAUAAAAGCACAUGCAAUUAUGGUCAAAGUGAUAGCGGUGUAAGAUGGACUUGCGUCUGAUUAGCUAGUUGGUGAGAUAAAAGCCCACCAAGGCAACGAUCAGUAGCCGGCUUGAGAGAGUGUACGGCCACAUUGGGACUGAGACACGGCCCAGACUCCUACGGAAGGCAGCAGUGGGGAAUUUUGCACAAUGGGGGAAACCCUGAUGCAGCGACGCCGCGUGAUUUAGAAGGCCUUCGGGUUGUAAAAAUCUUUUGUAUAGGAAGAAAAUGACAGUACUAUACGAAUAAGGGCCGGCUAAUUACGUG